GUCCUUUCUUUGAUCUAAAUUCCAUGGAAGAUUUUUCUAGCAUUGGUAUUUGGCUGAUAAAAUAUUUCAAAACAAAAAGAUAGUGAUAAUAAUAUAAUAACUGAUACAUGACAUUUACAAGGUGAUUUACACACAUGACCUUCUUUUAUCCUCCCAAUAGCCCUGUGAUGGUGGUGCCAUUGUUAUCCCCCAUUUGUGUAGUUGAGGAAAAGGAGACUCAAAGAAUCUGUGCCUUCCUCAGGGUCGGCUUGUUACAACAAUCUAAAGUGGGAUUUGAACCCAAGCCCAAUGUUUUCCAUCACCAAGUCAUACCUCUUUUGGUGAAGCUCUGGGCCUCUGCCUUCGGUGGGGAGAUGAAAUCCAUCGCAGCCAAGUAUUCAGGUUCCCAGCUUCUGCAGAAGAAAUGAAUAUCUAAUAAGGGAAAUGAGAAGAAAGCUGUUUGGAAGGAGGGGGCCUUUCCUGUUGCCCACGGCGACUCUACUUGGUAAGAGCUGGGUCAGAAGUUUGGUGCCCAUUUCUGGACAAUGGUCAGCUCAUGCCUCAUGCAGUCGAUGUGUGUGUUCCUGAGACUUGUGUGUAAAGAUCAUUUAAACACAAAUUGAUCUUUGGUAAACUGAACCAUAAUCUCCCACUGGUCUCCAUUAUCCUUUCAGCAAUGGCUCAUCUUCCUCUCUGAUUGAUUUUCCAUUGGCAGUGGCUCUCAAGGCUUUGGCUUGCAGCUUCUCUGUUUCCAGUCUCUCCCCAGUAGUUAAUGGUCUGUAAACUAACACUUAAAUGUGCUGCCGGAGAUGCCUACCCCCCAACCCCCAGUGCUAUUAUGAGUAAUGGCAAGAGUCCUUUUAGAAUAAUCAUGUAGUAAAUAUUCUGUUUUGUCCAUAUGGCUUUUCAGACAUUGACUGGCCUGGUGGGCUAUUUCUAUCAG
Molecule: long non-coding RNA, 922 nt
Filed under: Monodelphis domestica (gray short-tailed opossum)
Lineage: Eukaryota; Metazoa; Chordata; Mammalia; Didelphimorphia; Didelphidae
Description: lncRNA (ENSMODG00000048292.1)
Source: RNAcentral